AGCGAACGCUGGCGGCAGGCCUAACACAUGCAAGUCGAACGAACCUUUCGGGGUUAGUGGCGGACGGGUGAGUAACACGUGGGAACGUGCCUUUAGGUUCGGAAUAACUCAGGGAAACUUGUGCUAAUACCGAAUGUGCCCUUCGGGGGAAAGAUUUAUCGCCUUUAGAGCGGACCGCGUCUGAUUAGCUAGUUGGUUGAGGUAAUGGCUCACCAAGGCGACGAUCAGUAGCUGGUCUGAGAGGAUGAUCAGCCACAUUGGGACUGAGACACGGCCCAAACUCCUACGGGAGGCAGCAGUGGGGAAUCUUGCGCAAUGGGCGAAAGCCUGACGCAGCCAUGCCGCGUGAAUGAUGAAGGUCUUAGGAUUGUAAAAUUCUUUCACCGGGGACGAUAAUGACGGUACCCGGAGAAGAAGCCCCGGCUAACUUCGUG
This 434-nucleotide ribosomal RNA is filed under the name uncultured bacterium. RNAcentral's name for it is "partial 16S ribosomal RNA". It matches the Rfam family "Bacterial small subunit ribosomal RNA", at positions 29 to 507 of the family's 1533-position model. The record is from RNAcentral.